GACGAACGCUGGCGGCGUGCUUAACACAUGCAAGUCGAACGAAGAGCGAUGGAAGCUUGCUUCUAUCAAUCUUAGUGGCGAACGGGUGAGUAACGCGUAAUCAACCUGCCCUUCAGAGGGGGACAACAGUUGGAAACGACUGCUAAUACCGCAUACGAUCUAAUCUCGGCAUCGAGGAUAGAUGAAAGGUGGCCUCUACAUGUAAGCUAUCACUGAAGGAGGGGAUUGCGUCUGAUUAGCUAGUUGGAGGGGUAACGGCCCACCAAGGCGAUGAUCAGUAGCCGGUCUGAGAGGAUGAACGGCCACAUUGGGACUGAGACACGGCCCAGACUCCUACGGGAGGCAGCAGUGGGGAAUCUUCCGCAAUGGACGAAAGUCUGACGGAGCAACGCCGCGUGAGCGAUGACGGCCUUCGGGUUGUAAAGCUCUGUUAAUCGGGACGAAAGGCCUUCUUGCGAAUAGUGAGAAGGAUUGACGGUACCGGAAUAGAAAGCUACGGCUAACUACGUG
This 510-nucleotide ribosomal RNA is filed under the name uncultured bacterium. RNAcentral describes it as "partial 16S ribosomal RNA". It matches the Rfam family "Bacterial small subunit ribosomal RNA", at positions 28 to 507 of the family's 1533-position model. The record is from RNAcentral.